UUUUUUUUCUUUUCCAGGCAUCUUCUUGAAUCUCUCAUUUUCCUGAACAAGUGCAAUGAUGAGAGAUCUUGUUGGACACAGAAGAGAAGAGAGACAAUAUUUGUCUGGAGCAGCUCUUGCCAGAUGAGAAAUCCCUCAGUGUGCACACAGUUGUUUGACCACCUCGCACAAUGAAAUGCUGCAUCGGGAAUAUCCAUAUGAUAAGGAGACUGGAGGAUGCUUUUCUGCAUAACUUUAUCAUUCCAAUGGUCUGGAGGAUUUGGAUGAUUGAAAACCAACAAGUAAAUAAAGCCCUAUCUAUUACACAGCCAACUGUUGAGCCAAGACCCCUUCUAGCUGCUACCAUCAGGUGUCUGCAGCUGGACCCCCAGUGCUGUCCCCAAAGGAAGCUUCUGGGUGAGGGUCCAUGGUUGUGUUGUGUGGGAGACUGCAGCUGAGAUCUAUCCAAGCCCAGGAUGGCUGUGAUGGGAGGUGGAGGGCUGGAGGCCUCUGGAAGCUGCAGGCUCCCUUGGGUCAGAGAGUGAGAAGUAAAAAGUGUUAGAUGGAGGAAGACACAUUUUAAGAUAUUUCCAAGCCUCCAUCUCCAAGAUUUGAGUUCCAGCUUUUCUUCUGAACUCUCCUACUUCUUCAUUUUCCAUGUGUGCGUGUAUCUGUAUUCUCCA
Molecule: long non-coding RNA, 662 nt
Filed under: Gallus gallus (chicken)
Lineage: Eukaryota; Metazoa; Chordata; Aves; Galliformes; Phasianidae
Source: RNAcentral